UCGAGUGAGACUCUGGGUCACCUCCCACCCGUGUUUAUCGUACCUUGUUGCUUCGGCGGGCCCGCCUCACGGCCGCCGGGGGGCUUCUGCCCUCGGGCCCGCGCCCGCCGAAGACACCAUUGAACGCUGUCUGAAGAUUGCAGUCUGAGCAAUUAGCUAAAUAAGUUAAAACUUUCAACAACGGAUCUCUUGGUUCCGGCAUCGAUGAAGAACGCAGCGAAAUGCGAUACGUAAUGUGAAUUGCAGAAUUCAGUGAAUCAUCGAGUCUUUGAACGCACAUUGCGCCCCCUGGUAUUCCGGGGGGCAUGCCUGUCCGAGCGUCAUUGCUGCCCUCAAGCACGGCUUGUGUGUUGGGCCUCCGUCCUCCUCCCGGGGGACGGGCCCGAAAGGCAGCGGCGGCACCGCGUCCGGUCCUCGAGCGUAUGGGGCUUCGUCACCCGCUCUUGUAGGCCCGGCCGGCGCUUGCCGACACAUCAAUCUUUUUUCCAGGUUGACCUCGGAUCAGGUAGGGAUACCCGCUGAACUUAAGCAUAUCAAUAAGCGGAGGAA
Molecule: ribosomal RNA, 549 nt
Filed under: Penicillium sp. Cs/4/5
Lineage: Eukaryota; Fungi; Ascomycota; Eurotiomycetes; Eurotiales; Aspergillaceae
Description: eukaryotic LSU rRNA
Rfam family: 5.8S ribosomal RNA (bases 170-323)
Source: RNAcentral